This 253-nucleotide ribosomal RNA is filed under the name uncultured bacterium. Its description in RNAcentral is "partial 16S ribosomal RNA". It matches the Rfam family "Bacterial small subunit ribosomal RNA", at positions 524 to 776 of the family's 1533-position model. The record is from RNAcentral.
UACGGAGGGAGCUAGCGUUGUUCGGAAUUACUGGGCGUAAAGCGCACGUAGGCGGCUAUUUAAGUCGGGGGUGAAAGCCCGGGGCUCAACCCCGGAACUGCCCUCGAAACUAGGUAGCUAGAAUCUUGGAGAGGUCAGUGGAAUUCCGAGUGUAGCGGUGAAAUGCGUAGAUAUCUGGAGGAACACCGGUGGCGAAGGCGGCAUCCUGGACCAACACUGACGCUGAGGAGCGAAAGCCAGGGGAGCAAACGGG